This 305-nucleotide ribosomal RNA is filed under the name uncultured bacterium. RNAcentral describes it as "bacterial SSU rRNA". It matches the Rfam family "Bacterial small subunit ribosomal RNA", at positions 333 to 637 of the family's 1533-position model. The record is from RNAcentral.
UAACCUACGGGGGGCAGCAGUGAGGAAUAUUGGUCAAUGGGCGGAAGCCUGAACCAGCCAAGUCGCGUGAGGGAAUAAGGCCCUACGGGUCGUAAACCUCUUUUGCCGGGGAGCAAGGGCCGGGACGAGUCCCGGUCCGGAGAGUACCCGGAGAAAAAGCAUCGGCUAACUCCGUGCCAGCAGCCGCGGUAAUACGGAGGAUGCGAGCGUUAUCCGGAUUUAUUGGGUUUAAAGGGUGCGUAGGCGGGCUUUUAAGUCAGCGGUAAACUUGCGGUGCUCAACGCCGUAGAGCCGUUGAAACUGGG